AGUGAACGCUGGCGGUAGGCCUAACACAUGCAAGUCGAACGGCAGCACAGUAAGAGCUUGCUCUUACGGGUGGCGAGUGGCGGACGGGUGAGGAAUACAUCGGAAUCUACUUUUUCGUGGGGGAUAACGUAGGGAAACUUACGCUAAUACCGCAUACGACCUACGGGUGAAAGCAGGGGAUCUUCGGACCUUGCGCGAUUGAAUGAGCCGAUGUCGGAUUAGCUAGUUGGCGGGGUAAAGGCCCACCAAGGCGACGAUCCGUAGCUGGUCUGAGAGGAUGAUCAGCCACACUGGAACUGAGUCACGGUCCAGACUCCUACGGGAGGCAGCAGUGGGGAAUAUUGGACAAUGGGCGCAAGCCUGACCCAGCCAUACCGCGUGGGUGAAGAAGGCCUUCGGGUUGUAAAGCCCUUUUGUUGGGAAAGAAAAGCAGCAGGUUAAUACCCCGCUGUUCUGACGGUACCCAAAGAAUAAGCACCGGCUAACUUCGUG
RNAcentral lists this ribosomal RNA (492 nucleotides) under uncultured bacterium. RNAcentral's name for it is "partial 16S ribosomal RNA". It matches the Rfam family "Bacterial small subunit ribosomal RNA", at positions 29 to 507 of the family's 1533-position model. The record is from RNAcentral.